GAUGAACGCUGGCGGCGUGCCUAAUACAUGCAAGUCGAGCGAACAGAUAAGGAGCUUGCUCCUUUGACGUUAGCGGCGGACGGGUGAGUAACACGUGGGUAACCUACCUAUAAGACUGGAAUAACUCCGGGAAACCGGGGCUAAUGCCGGAUAACAUUUAGAACCGCAUGGUUCUAAAGUGAAAGAUGGUUUUGCUAUCACUUAUAGAUGGGCCCGCGCCGUAUUAGCUAGUUGGUAAGGUAACGGCUUACCAAGGCAACGAUACGUAGCCGACCUGAGAGGGUGAUCGGCCACACUGGAACUGAGACACGGUCCAGACUCCUACGGGAGGCAGCAGUAGGGAAUCUUCCGCAAUGGGCGAAAGCCUGACGGAGCAACGCCGCGUGAAUGAUGAAGGUCUUCGGAUCGUAAAACUCUGUUAUUAGGGAAGAACAAAUGUGUAAGUAACUGUGCACGUCUUGACGGUACCUAAUCAGAAAGCCACGGCUAACUACGUG
This 497-nucleotide ribosomal RNA is filed under the name uncultured bacterium. RNAcentral describes it as "partial 16S ribosomal RNA". It matches the Rfam family "Bacterial small subunit ribosomal RNA", at positions 28 to 507 of the family's 1533-position model. The record is from RNAcentral.